AACCUCCGCAAUGUGAGAAAUCGCGACGGGGGGAUCCCAAGUGCCAUUCUUAACGGGAUGGCUUUUCAUUAGUGUAAAGAGCUUUUGGAAUAAGGGCUGGGCAAGACCGGUGCCAGCCGCCGCGGUAACACCGGCAGCUCUAGUGGUAGCAGUUUUUAUUGGGCCUAAAGCGUCCGUAGCCGGUUUAAUAAGUCUCUGGUGAAAUCCUGUAGCUUAACUGUGGGAAUUGCUGGAGAUACUAUUAGACUUGAGACCGGGAGAGGUUAGAGGUACUCCCAGGGUAGAGGUGAAAUUCUGUAAUCCUGGGAGGACCGCCUGUUGCGAAGGCGUCUAACUGGAACGGUUCUGACGGUGAGGGACGAAAGUUAGGGGCGCGAACCGGAUUAGAUACCCGGGUAGUCCUAGCCGUAAACGAUGCGGACUUGGUGUUGGGAUGGCUUUGAGCCGCUCCGGUGCCGAAGGGAAGCUGUUAAGUCCGCCGCCUGGGAAGUACGGUCGCAAGACUGAAACUUAAAGGAAGU
This 521-nucleotide ribosomal RNA is filed under the name uncultured bacterium. Its description in RNAcentral is "bacterial SSU rRNA". It matches the Rfam family "Archaeal small subunit ribosomal RNA", at positions 345 to 866 of the family's 1478-position model. The record is from RNAcentral.